GACGAACGCUGGCGGCGUGCUUAACACAUGCAAGUCGAACGGAAAGGCCCGGCGUUUGCUCGUUGCUCGAUUGGCGAACGGGUGAGUAACACGUGUGUAACCUGCCCUUGACAUUGUGGUAAAUUCAGGAAACUGGGGAUAAUACCGGAUAUGAGAUCCUGCUGCAUGUUGUGGGUUAGAGAGUUUCGGCGGUUCUGGAUGGACUCGCUGCUUAUCAGCUGGUUGGUCGGGUAGUUGCUUACCAAGGGUUUGAAGGGUAGCCGGCCUGAGAGGGUAACCAGCGACAUGGGGACUGAGAUAGGGAGCAGAAUCGAACGGGCGGCAGUAGUGGGAAACAUUGCAGAACGGGGGGAAGUCUGAUGUGGAAACCCCGCGUGCGGAAUGCCGGGUUACGGGUUGUAAACAGCUUUCGCAUGAAACGAAGAGUGAGUGACGGUAAUGAGUCAAGAAGCACCGGCUAACUACGUG
Molecule: ribosomal RNA, 468 nt
Filed under: uncultured bacterium
Lineage: Bacteria
Description: partial 16S ribosomal RNA
Rfam family: Bacterial small subunit ribosomal RNA
Source: RNAcentral